UGGAAGUUCAAGGACGAAGAAUCUUACAUCGAGAGACAGUACCUGUCAAUCUCAUCUCACCAACUGGGGGAUUUCCAGUCACAUCUCAUGAAGCUUCCAGGACUUCUGGAAGAAUACACGUUGUCCCAGCUGGACCUCCACGACGGAAGCAGCUACACGGUGAAGGUCGUCGCCUGCAAUAUGGCGGGUUUAUGUCACUCCAAAGAUACUGGGGCCAUGUUGGUGGACAGCUCGAAACCCAUGACAGGUGCGCUAGCCGUACACACCGACCAUGCAGCGGGGCUGUCACGACACCAGUCAGGCUGGAUGAGAUGGA
Long non-coding RNA from Haliotis rubra (blacklip abalone), 316 nucleotides. RefSeq lists it as uncharacterized. The transcript is spliced from 3 exons. The record is from RefSeq and is a predicted model, not a curated record. NCBI's taxonomy places the organism in Eukaryota, Metazoa, Mollusca, Gastropoda, Lepetellida, Haliotidae.